CUACCCUUGACAUGUCUGGAAUCCUGAAGAGAUUUGGGAGUGCUCGAAAGAGAGCCAGAACACAGGUGCUGCAUGGCCGUCGUCAGCUCGUGUCGUGAGAUGUUGGGUUAAGUCCCGCAACGAGCGCAACCCUUGUCAUUAGUUGCUACGAAAGGGCACUCUAAUGAGACUGCCGGUGACAAACCGGAGGAAGGUGGGGAUGACGUCAGGUCAUCAUGGCCCUUAUGGGUAGGGCUACACACGUCAUACAAUGGCCGGGACAGAGGGCUGCCAACCCGCGAGGGGGAGCUAAUCCCAGAAACUCGGUCGUAGUCCGGAUCGUAGUCUGCAACUCGACUGCGUGAAGUCGGAAUCGCUAGUAAUCGCGGAUCAGCUUGCCGCGGUGAAUACGUUCCC
RNAcentral lists this ribosomal RNA (396 nucleotides) under uncultured bacterium. RNAcentral's name for it is "bacterial SSU rRNA". It matches the Rfam family "Bacterial small subunit ribosomal RNA", at positions 975 to 1375 of the family's 1533-position model. The record is from RNAcentral.